GUCGAACGCUUCUUUUUCCACCGGAGCUUGCUCCACCGGAAAAAGAGGAGUGGCGAACGGGUGAGUAACACGUGGGUAACCUGCCCAUCAGAAGGGGAUAACACUUGGAAACAGGUGCUAAUACCGUAUAACAAUCGAAACCGCAUGGUUUUGAUUUGAAAGGCGCUUUCGGGUGUCGCUGAUGGAUGGACCCGCGGUGCAUUAGCUAGUUGGUGAGGUAACGGCUCACCAAGGCGACGAUGCAUAGCCGACCUGAGAGGGUGAUCGGCCACAUUGGGACUGAGACACGGCCCAAACUCCUACGGGAGGCAGCAGUAGGGAAUCUUCGGCAAUGGACGAAAGUCUGACCGAGCAACGCCGCGUGAGUGAAGAAGGUUUUCGGAUCGUAAAACUCUGUUGUUAGAGAAGAACAAGGAUGAGAGUAACUGUUCAUCCCUUGACGGUAUCUAACCAGAAAGCCACGGCUAACUACGUGCCAGCAGCCGCGGUAAUACGUAGGUGGCAAGCGUUGUCCGGAUUUAUUGGGCGUAAAGCGAGCGCAGGCGGUUUCUUAAGUCUGAUGUGAAAGCCCCCGGCUCAACCGGGGAGGGUCAUUGGAAACUGGGAGACUUGAGUGCAGAAGAGGAGAGUGGAAUUCCAUGUGUAGCGGUGAAAUGCGUAGAUAUAUGGAGGAACACCAGUGGCGAAGGCGGCUCUCUGGUCUGUAACUGACGCUGAGGCUCGAAAGCGUGGGGAGCAAACAGGAUUAGAUACCCUGGUAGUCCACGCCGUAAACGAUGAGUGCUAAGUGUUGGAGGGUUUCCGCCCUUCAGUGCUGCAGCUAACGCAUUAAGCACUCCGCCUGGGGAGUACGACCGCAAGGUUGAAACUCAAGGAAUUGACGGGGGCCCGCACAAGCGGUGGAGCAUGUGGUUUAUUCGAAGCAACGCGAAGAACCUUACCAGGUCUUGACAUCCUUUGACCACUCUAGAGAUAGAGCUUCCCCUUCGGGGGCAAAGUG
Molecule: ribosomal RNA, 1000 nt
Filed under: Enterococcus hirae
Lineage: Bacteria; Bacillati; Bacillota; Bacilli; Lactobacillales; Enterococcaceae
Description: bacterial SSU rRNA
Rfam family: Bacterial small subunit ribosomal RNA
Source: RNAcentral